UUAAAGGCUAUGACGGAGUAAAGUAACCUAUUUAUUACCUUUCAGGGAGGAAGAGUCUCGACUGUAAACUCUUCUACGUGUAGUGAUAGAUGAAGUUCCCUCCCGAGCUGCCGGCUGAACGUUUUAUAUAGUAGGCUUGGACGGUUCUUCACCGUUAACAAGAAGGGGGUAUCGGAUAUCAAUUCCCGUACCUUUGUCGAGUGGCCUUUUUUGGCUUAAGUUGGGUGGUAACGCGAGAUACAGCAUCUCGUCCCUUCA
This 258-nucleotide non-coding RNA is filed under the name Desulfosporosinus meridiei. Its description in RNAcentral is "T-box sequence". It matches the Rfam family "T-box leader". Rfam says of the family: Uncharged tRNA acts as the effector for transcription antitermination of genes in the T-box leader family. T-boxes are found upstream of many aminoacyl-tRNA synthetase genes and some amino acid biosynthetic genes usually in Gram-positive bacteria. Lineage: Bacteria; Bacillati; Bacillota; Clostridia; Eubacteriales; Desulfitobacteriaceae. The record is from RNAcentral.